AGUAGUUUGAUCAUGGCUCAGGACGAACGCUGGCGGCACGCUUAACACAUGCAAGUCGAACGGAGUUUUAGAGAGCUUGCUUUUUAAAACUUAGUGGCGGACGGGUGAGUAACGCGUGGGUAACCUGCCUUACACAGGGGGACAACAGUUGGAAACGACUGCUAAUACCGCAUAAGCGCACGGUAUCGCAUGAUGCAGUGUGAAAAGAUUUAUCGGUGUAAGAUGGACCCGCGUCUGAUUAGAUAGUUGGUGAGGUAACGGCUCACCAAGUCGACGAUCAGUAGCCGGCCUGAGAGGGUGAACGGCCACAUUGGGACUGAGACACGGCCCAAACUCC
RNAcentral lists this ribosomal RNA (337 nucleotides) under uncultured Lachnospiraceae bacterium. Its description in RNAcentral is "bacterial SSU rRNA". It matches the Rfam family "Bacterial small subunit ribosomal RNA", at positions 1 to 339 of the family's 1533-position model. The record is from RNAcentral. Lineage: Bacteria; Bacillati; Bacillota; Clostridia; Lachnospirales; Lachnospiraceae.